UUUGCGCGGCUCAGAAGCUCCUGCUUGCAACCCUCCGCACAUCACACGAAUUGGGUCACAAAAGAAAAAAAGAAAAAAAGAAAAAAAACGAAGUUUGGAAGAGACCCACUCACGAUUUGGAGCCUCUCCAUCUCUGCAUUGUAGAUGAACCAAGCUGUUGGAAGUUGUGCAGCAACCUGCUCACAAGAAUUCAUUUGGCGAUCCAUGUCUGCUUGCCAAUCCUUCAUACAGAACAACCCAAUGCUGAAGUAAGAAGCUGCACUUUAAACUUCUACUUCUGCUCGGUAAACUGUUGCAAAAUUCUGGGUUGAUCUGAAGACCGAGAGGAUUGUUAUUGUAUUAGAAUGCGAGGGAGUUGACCUACUUCUUUCAGUUUCUUCACAUGGCUGAGAAGCUCGGAUUGGGACUCUUUCAAACCCUGCAACACUAUGUCCUGCACCGAUAACAGGUCGAUGAAGGUCGCACGAGAUGAUCGGCAUAGUUCGAAAUGGCCAAGUUCUAGGUUCUUUCACUACAAAUCUGUUAAUAUUACCGUGUAACACAAAAAUACAAGUAAAAGAGUCCAAAACUAAACAAACACAAUCUAUCGGGAUGUUUGACGAGAUAGAGAUGAAUCGAGGAUGGUGUGUACUGCUCGGUCCCAUGUGCUCGUGAUUAGGUUUUCCAGCGAGCAGUUGCUCAGGUUAAGAUCCUAGCAAAACAAUAAUUCAGUAGACAUCGCGGCAUUAGCUUCAUAAAAUCUCAUAAUUAAAUGAGAGUAGCCCAUCUUUAAUGCUACUCCCAUGUCACAUGAAAAUAUUUUCCUUCGCAGGAUUUUGAAAUUGAGAAUUCUUUGUUGUAAAGAGAAUGCGAUGACUGUCAAAUCUUGGUGACAAUUGAGCAAUAAAUGAUCUAAAUUUUACA
Non-coding RNA from Physcomitrium patens, 903 nucleotides. NCBI's taxonomy places the organism in Eukaryota, Viridiplantae, Streptophyta, Bryopsida, Funariales, Funariaceae. The record is from RefSeq and is a predicted model, not a curated record.